GCGGCAACAGCUCAAAUUUGAAAUCUGGCGCAAGCCCGAGUUGUAAUUUGUAGAGGAUGCUUCUGGGUAGCGACCGAUCUAAGUUCCUUGGAACAGGACGUCAUAGAGGGUGAGAAUCCCGUAUGUGACCGGCCCGCACCCUUUACGUAGCUCCUUCGACGAGUCGAGUUGUUUGGGAAUGCAGCUCUAAAUGGGAGGUAAAUUUCUUCUAAAGCUAAAUACCGGCCAGAGACCGAUAGCGCACAAGUAGAGUGAUCGAAAGAUGAAAAGUACUUUGGAAAGAGAGUUAAAAAGCACGUGAAAUUGUUGAAAGGGAAGCGCCUGCAACCAGACUUCGCGGCAGUGUUCCGCCGGUCUUCUGACCGGUUCAUUCUCUGUCGCGAGGCCAUCAUCGUCUGGGCCCGCCGGAUAAGACCUUAGGAAUGUAGCUCACCUUCGGGGGAGUGUUAUAGCCUAGGGUGAUGCGGCGAGGCUCGGGCGAGGUCCGCGCUUCGGCAAGGAUGAUGGCGUAAUGGUUGUCGGCGGCCCGUCUUGAAACACGGACCAAGGAGUCUAACAUCUAUGCGAGUGUUCGGGUGUCAAACCCCUACGCGUAAUGAAAGUGAACGGAGGUGGGAACCGCAAGGUGCACCAUCGACCGAUCCUGAUGUCCUCGGAUGGAUUUGAGUAAGAGCAUAGCUGUUGGGACCCGAAAGAUGGUGAACUAUGCCUGAAUAGGGUGAAGCCAGAGGAAACUCUGGUGGAGGCUCGCAGCGGUUCUGACGUGCAAAUCGAUCGUCAAAUUUGGGUAUAGGG
Molecule: ribosomal RNA, 795 nt
Filed under: Septoria urticae
Lineage: Eukaryota; Fungi; Ascomycota; Dothideomycetes; Mycosphaerellales; Mycosphaerellaceae
Description: eukaryotic LSU rRNA
Rfam family: Eukaryotic large subunit ribosomal RNA
Source: RNAcentral